This 66-nucleotide transfer RNA is filed under the name Peromyscus attwateri (Texas deermouse). Its description in RNAcentral is "tRNA-Trp". The record is from RNAcentral. Lineage: Eukaryota; Metazoa; Chordata; Mammalia; Rodentia; Cricetidae.
GAAGUUUAGGAUAAAAAGUCCAAGAACCUUCAAAGUUCUAAGUAAAUUAAAAAGAUUUAACUUCUG